Non-coding RNA from Acanthosepion pharaonis, 115 nucleotides. The record is from the annotation of a GenBank genome assembly. NCBI's taxonomy places the organism in Eukaryota, Metazoa, Mollusca, Cephalopoda, Sepiida, Sepiidae.
UUACGGCCAUAUAGAGCGUUGAAAGAUCGGUUCCCGUACGAUCACCAAAGUUAAGCAACAUCGAGCAUGAUCAGUACCUAGAUGGGUGACCGCUUGGAAAUAUCAAGUAUUGUAA